This 253-nucleotide ribosomal RNA is filed under the name uncultured bacterium. Its description in RNAcentral is "partial 16S ribosomal RNA". It matches the Rfam family "Bacterial small subunit ribosomal RNA", at positions 524 to 776 of the family's 1533-position model. The record is from RNAcentral.
UACGGAGGGUGCAAGCGUUAUCCGGAUUCACUGGGUUUAAAGGGUGCGUAGGCGGUCAUGUAAGUCAGUGCUGAAAUAUCCCGGCUUAACCGGGAGGGUGGCAUUGAUACUGUAUGACUUGAGUAAAGUUGAGGUUGGCGGAAUUGACGGUGUAGCGGUGAAAUGCUUAGAUAUCGUCAAGAACACCUAUUGCGAAGGCAGCUAACUAAGCUUUAACUGACGCUGAGGCACGAAAGUGUGGGGAUCAAACAGG